RNAcentral lists this unclassified non-coding RNA (239 nucleotides) under Basidiomycota sp. RNAcentral's name for it is "partial contains small subunit ribosomal RNA, internal transcribed spacer 1, and 5.8S ribosomal RNA". The stretch from base 1 to 47 matches the Rfam family "Eukaryotic small subunit ribosomal RNA", at positions 1785 to 1831 of the family's 1831-position model. Lineage: Eukaryota; Fungi; Basidiomycota. The record is from RNAcentral.
AAAGUCGUAACAAGGUUUCCGUAGGUGAACCUGCGGAAGGAUCAUUACCAAACAAGGUCUUUGACCUUUACCCCAUGUGCAUUGUUUAACUGUCCUUGUGAGGUUCGGCAUGAUGGUGAUUUUACCAUUACCAACUUGUCAGCCUCACAUACAUUAUGCUUAACCCCUUAACAAUUUUUGUGAUGGUGGAUUUAAAAAAAAACAAAAGACAACUUUUAACGGUGGAUCUCUUGGCUCAU